This is a long non-coding RNA of Acanthopagrus latus (yellowfin seabream), 766 nucleotides long. RefSeq lists it as uncharacterized. The transcript is spliced from 3 exons. NCBI's taxonomy places the organism in Eukaryota, Metazoa, Chordata, Actinopteri, Spariformes, Sparidae. The record is from RefSeq and is a predicted model, not a curated record.
AUUGUUUUCUGUUUUCUGUCUCCUGUUCUGCGCUCCUGUCCCUGCUCCUGUCCCGUUUGAAGGCCACAGGAUGCUCUGUGUGUAUGGGUGCGUGUGUUUGUGUGUUCAUAUCUUCUCACUGAUUGGAGAGCUGAGCGGCUCGUCUCCUUGGAACUCCUCCAGGACAAAGAACUGGUUCCACACCCAGCUCCUCCUGCUCCUCUGGUAGGACUGGAUGCCUCCUGAUGCUCCUCGUCCUGACACCUGACAGAGGAGGCGUGAGUUCAGGGUCAUCGCCUCAGUGCCUGGCUCCUCCCACAGGAUCAACAAAUUGAGCGUGCUCAUAAGCCAGAAAAUGGUCAUCUCUGAGGACAAAGACACCAGUGUCCAAGGAGACAGAGUGGACUGUAGUGUCCAGUGAGGAGAUUCAAACUUUCCAAGAAGACGUCAAACUGUCCAACGAGGAGACAUCAAACUGUCCAAUGAGGAGACAUCAAGCAAGGAGGAGCAUAGCAGAUGGACGUAAACCUGUAAUAAACAUUUAAAUGAUAAAAUAUGAAAUGAAAUUAAGAGAAUUCCUUGUAUUAUCUCUGGUCACGCAGUAAAUGUAUAAAUGUUUGUACAGAUUCAAGUGUUAAUAUGAGGAAAGAAGAAAAUCUUCUGUUUUAUUUGUAGAUUCAGGUUUGAACUGAAGUUUCUUUUCACAGGAGGAUGUUCUUUACUUUUAUUUAAAACAUUUCUUUGAACUUCAAGCUGUGAAAAUCAGUUUUUUUUUAAAUAUUUUGGU